CCUACGGGAGGCAGCAGUGAGGAAUAUUGGUCAAUGGACGAGAGUCUGAACCAGCCAAGUAGCGUGAAGGAUGACUGCCCUAUGGGUUGUAAACUUCUUUUAUAUGGGAAUAAAAUGUUCCACGUGUGGGAUUUUGUAUGUACCAUAUGAAUAAGGAUCGGCUAACUCCGUGCCAGCAGCCGCGGUAAUACGGAGGAUCCGAGCGUUAUCCGGAUUUAUUGGGUUUAAAGGGAGCGUAGGUGGAUUGUUAAGUCAGUUGUGAAAGUGUGCGGCUCAACCGUAAAAUUGCAGUUGAAACUGGCAGUCUUGAGUACAGUAGAGGUGGGCGGAAUUCGUGGUGUAGCGGUGAAAUGCUUAGAUAUCACGAAGAACUCCGAUUGCGAAGGCAGUUCACUGGACUGCAACUGACACUGAGGCUCGAAAGUGUGGGUAUCAAACAGGAUUAGAUACCCGUGUAGUC
RNAcentral lists this ribosomal RNA (460 nucleotides) under uncultured bacterium. Its description in RNAcentral is "partial 16S ribosomal RNA". It matches the Rfam family "Bacterial small subunit ribosomal RNA", at positions 338 to 795 of the family's 1533-position model. The record is from RNAcentral.